GAAGAAAAGGAAACAAGUAAAAAAUAAAUGAUUACGUUCUAAAUUAAAAAAUUUCGCUCCUUUCUUAUUUUCUCUUUAUUUUUGAGAUAAUUUCUUAUAAUAUUUUGAUUUCAAAUAAUUAAAAAUUUUAUUAAAAUAUUUCGUGAUAGAUAAGAUAUUCUUAAAUAUAGUUAAAACGGUUUUAGAUGCUAGUGUAGGUGUAACCAACGCCGUUUUAACAACGGCAUCACAAAAUCCGACGGCGUGGCGAGCUGAGGGGGAGCCGAGCGGAGCCAGCGAAAGGAAUGCAUGGAUAACACAAGCGUGACCCUGAGUUUGUGACUGUGGGUUUGAAGUCAAAAUCCUAUCUUCGUCUUUCUUAAUUUAUUAAAGUUUACUUUGUGCGUCAUCAUUUGCUCAUGCCACGUCGCUACUUACAUCACGGCUGGCGCCUUCUUUCUUUUGUUUCCAACUUAAGAAUAUCGCCUUCUAGAAAAAAA
Molecule: long non-coding RNA, 479 nt
Filed under: Theobroma cacao (cacao)
Lineage: Eukaryota; Viridiplantae; Streptophyta; Magnoliopsida; Malvales; Malvaceae
Description: long non-coding RNA (TCAC_LNC003183)
Source: RNAcentral